GGAUACUGCCAGAGCUGCCCAGCCUGCCUCACCUCACACCGGGAGAGAGAGUCACACAGUUGAGUUCCUUCCCCCACCUCUUCCCAGAGAUCCCAGCAGCCAAUCCCUCUCCCUCAGACUGCUGUAGGCAGCUCAUUUGGCUCUCUAGGACCCAACCCUGCUCUUACAUGCUCCACUGCUUCCCGUCCGUCCCAGCUCCCAGCAGAGUGGUGCCCCAGACAUACUGGUGCCCUAUGCUGCCUACGGCUAAGGAUAGCCCUGCAUAUCAGAGAUUUUAGAUACUAGAGGAUUGACACCAGUGUGAUUUUUGGGGUUGGAUUAAGACCAUCGUGAGCCAUAGGAACACCAUGCCACAGGGCCUCCUGGGAUCUCGUCUCCCUGUAACAGCUGUUGGAGGCAACUGACUACAUGAGAAUCUCAGCUUUAACUUAAUCAAGUUUGCAGCAUAAUGUCUAUGGAGAAAAGUUUGAAAAUAUGACUUGACUGCAGACUCUAAAUGCUCAAUAAGUAGAAGACUGUAAAACUAAUGGGGAAAGCAGCAGUUGAAGAAACAAGAUUGAAGAACUGCAAAGAUAUUCAAGAUUCAGGCAGAAAAGAAGGCUUAAGCACCCCCACAGUGUUUCUAACCCUUCAUGGAAAUGAAGCUGAACCAAACCCCUGCCUCAGAAAACCCCAAAACAUAGGCAAAGUUUCAUUCUGCACCCAAAACUGAGAGAGAUCUUCUGUGGCUUGAAGAAGGUCGGAGGCUCCUUCCGGAGCUGUUCUGUCUGUGCCCCUGACCCAUGAAAUCCUACAAUUGAUCUUAAGUGAUGGGAAGGGUCUUGCAUAGUCCAUCUACACCUUGGUGAACUUCCCCCUGUGUGUUUGUACUGAUAAGGACACUAGAUACUAUAAUUUCUCUUAAAUUUAAUUUAAAGACAUUAUCAUAUCAACUGAACAUUUGUAUCUUAUACAAAUACUCCCUCUGCCUAGCCUGCUUUAUAUCAUUCUCAUUGAUAAUCCCUAUAAUGUCGUAAUAGUUAUGUAACCUAGGUACUAUAAGCAUUGCUAUUAUAGAUCUAUUAAGGGAAUUUUGAAGUGACAAUCUGUGCUGCAGGGAAUCACCACUUUUAAAAAGUGUAGGGUAAAGCUUUGGAGGGGGAAAAGAGAGCCAGUAUAUCAUAUGUAUAUUUUGUCACUCUGGCUACAGAAGCAAACAGCAUCAAUGAAAUUGUAUUUGACCAGAGUAAGAGUUAGAGGAAUGCAACAACUUACUGCUUUAGAGUAACAGCCGUGUUAGUCUGUAUCCGCAAAAAGAACAGGAUUACUUGUGGCUACACCUUAGAGACUAACAAAUUUAUUUGAGCAUAAG
This is a long non-coding RNA of Chrysemys picta bellii (western painted turtle), 1351 nucleotides long. RefSeq lists it as uncharacterized. Lineage: Eukaryota; Metazoa; Chordata; Testudines; Emydidae. The record is from RefSeq and is a predicted model, not a curated record.